AUUUGCAGUUCUAUUUUUUCUGUCAAUUUAGUGCUUGCAAAUUCAUUCUGAGGGAGAUCAGAAUUUGUAACCUUAAGAUCACCAAAAUUGGUAGUCUUUCCUUCAGCAAAAGCAUAUAGUUUUGUUCGAGACCCAAGAUGAAUACUGAACCUGUUCAAACCUUCCAAGCUUCUAAGAAGAAAUAAGAUAUCAUAAGUUGGACUUGAUUUCUCAAGAUCAACCAUUUCAGAACCGAACAUGCUAGAGAAAGAUGGGGUGAACUGCCACCAUGCUGUAGAUUUCUCAGAUGACGUAGAAUGUACAGCAUGUUUGCAACUGUGAGGACAUCCUGGUUUAUGUCUCACAAAUUUUCUGUAGGUCACCCUGUGUACUUGACUCCACACGCUUGAAUUAGUAGUGAUGUCAUUCUCUGCUUUAAUCUGCCGCAGGAGUAGAGUUUGAUAUAGGGUCAACUUGUGGUUCAACUUCUGUCCCUCCAGGUAGAAUAUCAAUUUAGGUGCAACAUUUUCAUCAUCACAACAUCCAGUACAUUCCAAACUUGUACUACUAUCAUCUUCAGAUGAAUUCAGUCUUCCUUUCUUCAAUAACUCUGCAUUAACAUCUGAAAUAUCCAUUGGGACACUCUUUGUUUGUUCUACAUCCACAGUUUCCACUUCAGCAAAUAAUUGCAAGUUAUUCUUCACAACCUGUGUUUCAUGAGAAUCUGUUGAAGUGGUGUCCGAUUCCAUGGGUCCUGGAUUUUUACCUUGAGACGUGCUUACAUCUUGUGAUGCACGAGAUGGUGACUCUUCCUCCAAAUCCAGAGUGG
Molecule: unclassified non-coding RNA, 808 nt
Filed under: Hevea brasiliensis (rubber tree)
Lineage: Eukaryota; Viridiplantae; Streptophyta; Magnoliopsida; Malpighiales; Euphorbiaceae
Source: RNAcentral